Long non-coding RNA from Micropterus dolomieu (smallmouth bass), 1190 nucleotides. RefSeq lists it as uncharacterized. The transcript is spliced from 6 exons. The record is from RefSeq and is a predicted model, not a curated record. Lineage: Eukaryota; Metazoa; Chordata; Actinopteri; Centrarchiformes; Centrarchidae.
CCGUGAUUUGUUGAAACGAUGUGUUUCCCUUUGCUUUGUAACGUUACUUUAUUUUAAAACGCCUUUAUUCUGACAGGUAGCUAAGCUAGCUAGCUAACGGUACUGGAGUGUACACGUCAUCACCGAGCCUUUGUGUACGGAAGUAGGAAAGCGGAAGCUCUGCAGCGUCACCCGAGAGAGGCGAAACAUGAAGAGGGCUCACUCUGUCUCGGAUUUUGAACACUGAAAAUAUAGGUGUCAGAGUAUUUCUUGUCUGUCCAUCUAGAGGCGUCCUUCUUGCCUGCGGUCAGAGACACCAAAACUAAUGAUAUCAAACUUUUCAUAGUGAGGUCGUGGGGUUCUCUUUGUCUGCCCUUUAUCUUUCAGCCCUGAGGAAAGGAUGAGAUGAGCUUACUGGUUUUCCUCCACACCUGAGCACCACGGGCACAAACUGGAAUCCAGACUCCAGGUAAAAAUCCAUCAUUUCAACCCUGCCGCCUGCUCAAUUGACCAUCACACAUGUAUAAACCUUCUCUACACCCAUGUGUCUCGUCACCUAUUGUGAGGAACUCAGCCACCAUCCCAGUCCACCCCAGCCUCUGAGUUAGGCCCCCCCAUAGAGGUGUAGACCUCCUCCUCUCUCACACAUGUCUGACACUCCACGUGGCAGCACCAGCGUACCUGGCAGUGGCAGGACAGGCUGGUGAGGCGCAUGGCUGUGUUGUAACCACGUCCGCAGCACAGACUCUGACAACUGGUGUCUUUGGCACAUGAUCGGCCGCCUGUGCCCGGGGAGUAGCGAGAGGGCCUGCAGAAGCUGUGGGAGUCUUCCAGGUAGACCAGGUCAGUAGUGCGGAGGCUCUGGCCGUGGCGACGGGGGCCCGCAAGCUCUGUCUCCCCGGUGGCUGCGUUGGUGACACUCAGCACUCGCACUGCAGUGUCAUAUCGAUACUUCAGCAGCCGUCCAGUGUCAUGGAAAGGAGACAGCUGCUUCCAGCAAGUCCGUAUGGCGCAAGAGCCGGAGACACCGUGACACUUGCAGGCCCGCACAGCAAGCUUUAUCAUGCCUGAGAACACCUGGCUCCAACGAUCCCACAGCCAUCUUGUCUCCCUGCUACACCGCCUCACCCUCUGCCUCUGUAUUAUCCACCAAGGCCAGCGACGGAAGCAAAUAAGGGGGCGUUUGUCUGGCUGGCACUGUGCAAAAUAUG